GUGCCAGCAGCCGCGGUAAUACGGAGGGGGUUAGCGUUGUUCGGAAUUACUGGGCGUAAAGCGCACGUAGGCGGAUUAGAAAGUUGGGGGUGAAAUCCCGGGGCUCAACCCCGGAACUGCCUCCAAAACUGCUAGUCUAGAGUUCGAGAGAGGUGAGUGGAAUUCCGAGUGUAGAGGUGAAAUUCGUAGAUAUUCGGAGGAACACCAGUGGCGAAGGCGGCUCACUGGCUCGAUACUGACGCUGAGGUGCGAAAGUGUGGGGAGCAAACAGGAUUAGAUACCCUGGUAGUCCACACCGUAAACGAUGAAUGCCAGUCGUCGGGUAGUAUACUAUUCGGUGACACACCUAACGGAUUAAGCAUUCCGCCUGGGGAGUACGGUCGCAAGAUUAAAACUCAAA
RNAcentral lists this ribosomal RNA (400 nucleotides) under uncultured bacterium. Its description in RNAcentral is "bacterial SSU rRNA". It matches the Rfam family "Bacterial small subunit ribosomal RNA", at positions 505 to 905 of the family's 1533-position model. The record is from RNAcentral.